RNAcentral lists this ribosomal RNA (484 nucleotides) under uncultured bacterium. RNAcentral describes it as "partial 16S ribosomal RNA". It matches the Rfam family "Bacterial small subunit ribosomal RNA", at positions 30 to 507 of the family's 1533-position model. The record is from RNAcentral.
AUUGAACGCUGGCGGAAUGCUUUACACAUGCAAGUCGAACGGCAGCACGGGGGCAACCCUGGUGGCGAGUGGCGAACGGGUGAGUAAUACAUCGGAACGUGCCCGGUCGUGGGGGAUAACGUAGCGAAAGUUACGCUAAUACCGCAUACGAUCUGAGGAUGAAAGCGGGGGACCUUCGGGCCUCGCGCGAUCGGAGCGGCCGAUGUCAGAUUAGGUAGUUGGUGGGGUAAAGGCCUACCAAGCCGACGAUCUGUAGCUGGUCUGAGAGGACGACCAGCCACACUGGGACUGAGACACGGCCCAGACUCCUAAGGGAGGCAGCAGUGGGGAAUUUUGGACAAUGGGCGCAAGCCUGAUCCAGCCAUUCCGCGUGCAGGACGAAGGCCUUCGGGUUGUAAACUGCUUUUGUAUGGAACGAAAAGGCUCUGGCUAAUACCUGGGGCUCAUGACGGUACCGGAAGAAUAAGCACCGGCUAACUACGUG